RNAcentral lists this unclassified non-coding RNA (351 nucleotides) under soil metagenome. Its description in RNAcentral is "partial contains 5.8S ribosomal RNA, internal transcribed spacer 2, and large subunit ribosomal RNA". The stretch from base 1 to 119 matches the Rfam family "5.8S ribosomal RNA", at positions 35 to 154 of the family's 154-position model. The record is from RNAcentral.
GAUGAAGAACGUAGCGAAAUGCGAUAAGUAAUGUGAAUUGCAGAAUUCAGUGAAUCAUCGAAUCUUUGAACGCACAUUCGCCCGCCAGUAUUCUGGCGGGCAUGCCUGUUCGAGCGUCAUUUCAACCCUCAGGCCCCCAGUGCCUGGUGUUGGGGAUCGGCCCAGCCUUCCUGUAAGGCCGCCGGCCCCGAAAUCUAGUGGCGGUCUCGCUGUAGUCCUCCUCUGCGUAGUAGCACAACCUCGCAGUUGGAACGCGGCGGUGGCCAUGCCGUUAAACACCCCACUUCUGAAAGUUGACCUCGGAUCAGGUAGGAAUACCCGCUGAACUUAAGCAUAUCAAUAAGCGGAGGA